AUUGAACGCUGGCGGCAUGCUUUACACAUGCAAGUCGAACGGUAACAGGCCUUCUGGUGCUGACGCUUGGCGCACGGGUGAGUAAUGCAUCGGAACGUACCCUGCGGUGGGGGAUAACGCAGCUAAAGCUGUGCUAAUACCGCAUGUGAUCUGAGGAUGAGAUCGGGGGACCGAGCAGCAAUGUUUGGCCUCGCGCCUUUGGAGCGGCCGCUGUGGGAGUAGCUAGUUGGUGGGGUACAGACCUAGCAAGUCGACGAUCCGUAGCUGGACUGAGUGGACGACCAGCGACACUAGGACGGAGACACGGACCAGGCUCCUACGGGAGGCAGCAGUGGGGAAUGGGAGACAAUGGGCGCAAGCCUGAUCCAGCAAUGCCGCGUGCGGGAAGAAGGCCUUCGGGUUGUAAACCGCUUUUGGCAGGAACGAAACGGUGUCCGCUAAUACCGGGCGCUAAUGACGGUACCUGCAGAAUAAGCACCGGCUAACUACGUG
This 492-nucleotide ribosomal RNA is filed under the name uncultured bacterium. Its description in RNAcentral is "partial 16S ribosomal RNA". It matches the Rfam family "Bacterial small subunit ribosomal RNA", at positions 29 to 507 of the family's 1533-position model. The record is from RNAcentral.